CUCUUUGAGUAUGGUCUUUCAACCAGUUGUGCACCCACCUUAUAGUAAUGUCACUUCCCCAGUUUGCUUAUGAGAAUGUCAUGUGGGACUGUGUCAAAAGGCUUACCAAAAUCAAGAUAUAACACAUCACAGGAACA
Dermochelys coriacea (leatherback sea turtle) is the source of this 137-nucleotide long non-coding RNA. RefSeq lists it as uncharacterized. Lineage: Eukaryota; Metazoa; Chordata; Testudines; Dermochelyidae. The record is from RefSeq and is a predicted model, not a curated record. The transcript has 3 exons.